Molecule: ribosomal RNA, 419 nt
Filed under: uncultured Oscillospiraceae bacterium
Lineage: Bacteria; Bacillati; Bacillota; Clostridia; Eubacteriales; Oscillospiraceae
Description: bacterial SSU rRNA
Rfam family: Bacterial small subunit ribosomal RNA
Source: RNAcentral
CAGCAGUGGGGAAUAUUGGGCAAUGGGGGAAACCCUGACCCAGCAACGCCGCGUGAAGGAAGAAGGCCUUCGGGUUGUAAACUUCUUUUACCAGGGACGAAGGACGUGACGGUACCUGGAGAAAAAGCAACGGCUAACUACGUGCCAGCAGCCGCGGUAAUACGUAGGUUGCAAGCGUUGUCCGGAUUUACUGGGUGUAAAGGGCGUGUAGGCGGAGGAGCAAGUCAGAUGUGAAAUCCCGGGGCUUAACCCCGGAACUGCAUUUGAAACUGUUUCCCUUGAGUAUCGGAGAGGCAAGCGGAAUUCCUAGUGUAGCGGUGAAAUGCGUAGAUAUUAGGAGGAACACCAGUGGCGAAGGCGGCUUGCUGGACGACAACUGACGCUGAGGCGCGAAAGCGUGGGGAGCAAACAGGAUUAGA